RNAcentral lists this transfer RNA (72 nucleotides) under Angiostrongylus costaricensis. It matches the Rfam family "tRNA". From Rfam's summary of the family: Transfer RNA (tRNA) molecules are approximately 80 nucleotides in length. Their secondary structure includes four short double-helical elements and three loops (D, anti-codon, and T loops). The record is from Rfam by way of RNAcentral. Lineage: Eukaryota; Metazoa; Nematoda; Chromadorea; Rhabditida; Metastrongylidae.
CGGGGUAUAGCUCAGUUGUAGAGCAUUCGACAGCAGAUCGAGAGGUCCGUUGUUCAACACCGCGUGCCCCCU